Molecule: ribosomal RNA, 260 nt
Filed under: uncultured bacterium
Lineage: Bacteria
Description: partial 16S ribosomal RNA
Rfam family: Bacterial small subunit ribosomal RNA
Source: RNAcentral
CGUAGGGUGCGAGCGUUGUCCGGAUUUAUUGGGCGUAAAGGGCUCGUAGGUGGUUUGAUCGCGUCGGAAGUGUAAUCUUGGGGGCUUAACCCUGAGCGUGCUUUCGUAUACGGGUUGACUUGAGGAAGGUAGGGGAGAAUGGAAUUCCUGGUGGAGCGGUGGAAUGCCGCAGAUAUCCAGGAGGAACACCAGUGGCGAAGGCGGUUCUCUGGGGCCUUUCCUGACGCUGAGGAGCGAAAGCGUGGGGAGCGAACAGGCUU